GUUUAUGUGAUGAUAAGUUCAAUCUGAACAAAGUGCUGUUGAUCACCAACUUACAAUUAAACCAAAAGGAUUCUGAAAUUUU
RNAcentral lists this small nucleolar RNA (82 nucleotides) under Drosophila guanche. Its description in RNAcentral is "small nucleolar RNA Me28S-Cm3227". It matches the Rfam family "Small nucleolar RNA Me28S-Cm3227". Rfam says of the family: Me28S-Cm3227 is a member of the C/D class of snoRNA which contain the C (UGAUGA) and D (CUGA) box motifs. Lineage: Eukaryota; Metazoa; Arthropoda; Insecta; Diptera; Drosophilidae. The record is from RNAcentral.